GCAUGCAAGUCGAACGGUAACCAUCCUUCGGGAUGGCUAGAGUGGCGAACGGGUGAGUAACACGUAGGUGAUCUGCCCUUGAGUUGGGGAUAGCCCAUGGAAACAUGGGGUAAUACCGAAUACGCUCGCGACCCUGUGGGGAUGUGAGGAAAAGCGCUUCGGCGCUGCUCGAGGAUGAGCCUGCGGCUGAUUAGUUAGUUGGUGGGGUAACGGCCUACCAAGGCGACGAUCAGUAGCCGGCCUGAGAGGGUGAGCGGCCACACUGGGACUGAGAUACGGCCCAGACUCCUACGGGAGGCAGCAGCUAAGAAUCUUCUACAAUGGACGAAGGUCUGAUAGAGCGACGCCGCGUGGGUGAUGAAGGCCGGAAGGUUGUAAAGCCCUUUUCUAUUCGAGGAAUAAGGUGUGGAGGCAAUGCCACACUGAUGACGGUAGGGUAGGAAUAAGCCCCGGCCAAUUACGUGCCAGCAGCCGCGGUAACACGUAUGGGGCGAGCGUUGUUCGGAAUCAUUGGGCGUAAAGGGCGCGUAGGCGGAUAUGCAAGCUUGGUGUGAAAGACCGCAGCUCAACUGCGGGAGCGCGCUGAGAACUGCAUAUCUUGAGUUCAAGAGGGGAAGCUGGAAUUCCAGGUGUAGGGGUGACAUCUGUAGAUAUCUGGAAGAACAUCAGUGGCGAAGGCGAGCUUCUGGCUUUGAACUGACGCUGAGGCGCGAAAGCGUGGGGAGCGAACAGGAUUAGAUACCCU
This 745-nucleotide ribosomal RNA is filed under the name uncultured organism. RNAcentral's name for it is "bacterial SSU rRNA". It matches the Rfam family "Bacterial small subunit ribosomal RNA", at positions 53 to 788 of the family's 1533-position model. The record is from RNAcentral.